GGACGAACGCUGGCGGCGUGCUUAACCCAUGCAAGUCGAACGGAAAGGCCCUGCUUUUGUGGGGUGCUCGAGUGGCGAACGGGUGAGUAACACGUGAGUAACCUGCCCUUGACUUUGGGAUAACUUCAGGAAACUGGGGCUAAUACCGGAUAGGAGCUCCUGCGGCAUGGUGGGGGUUGGAAAGUUUCGGCGGUUGGGGAUGGACUCGCGGCUUAUCAGCUUGUUGGUGGGGUAGUGGCUUACCAAGGCUUUGACGGGUAGCCGGCCUGAGAGGGUGACCGGCCACAUUGGGACUGAGAUACGGCCCAGACUCCUACGGGAGGCAGCAGUGGGGAAUAUUGCACAAUGGGCGGAAGCCUGAUGCAGCAACGCCGCGUGCGGGAUGACGGCCUUCGGGUUGUAAACCGCUUUCGCCUGUGACGAAGCGUGAGUGACGGUAAUGGGUAAAGAAGCACCGGCUAACUACGUG
RNAcentral lists this ribosomal RNA (469 nucleotides) under uncultured bacterium. RNAcentral describes it as "partial 16S ribosomal RNA". It matches the Rfam family "Bacterial small subunit ribosomal RNA", at positions 27 to 507 of the family's 1533-position model. The record is from RNAcentral.